GGAUGCGACAUAGCUAUUUCAGCUCCCAGAAGCAAAGUGUCUCAUGACAGAUGGGGAACCUCAACUUCAGUCACAGCUUCAAAGGACUCCAUCACUGCAGUUCAUCCACACACCCACACCUGUAGAGCAGCGAUGCACGUGGAUACAGCCGUGGCUGCCAUCUCCAUUAGCUUUAAAGUAGCAUGGCACAAGUAAGUUGUAAGACCCUCGAGCUGUCAUUACAUGCAGCAGCAGCUCCAGAAGCAAUCCUGGGUGACA
Non-coding RNA from Coturnix japonica (Japanese quail), 258 nucleotides. The record is from RefSeq and is a predicted model, not a curated record. Lineage: Eukaryota; Metazoa; Chordata; Aves; Galliformes; Phasianidae.